This 96-nucleotide microRNA precursor is filed under the name Equus caballus (horse). Its description in RNAcentral is "mir-544 microRNA precursor family". It matches the Rfam family "mir-544 microRNA precursor family". The record is from Rfam by way of RNAcentral. Lineage: Eukaryota; Metazoa; Chordata; Mammalia; Perissodactyla; Equidae.
AUCACCUAGGGAUCUUGUUAAAGUGUAGAUUCUGAUUCAGAAAAUUUGAUAGGACUGCAGAUUCUGCAUCACUAACAAGUUCCCAGGUGAUAUUGA